RNAcentral lists this ribosomal RNA (1343 nucleotides) under uncultured bacterium. RNAcentral's name for it is "bacterial SSU rRNA". It matches the Rfam family "Bacterial small subunit ribosomal RNA", at positions 28 to 1381 of the family's 1533-position model. The record is from RNAcentral.
GAUGAACGCUGGCGGCGUGCUUAACACAUGCAAGUCGAACGGUGAAGCAGAGCUUGCUCUGUGGAUCAGUGGCGAACGGGUGAGUAACACGUGAGCAACCUGCCCCUGACUCUGGGAUAAGCGCUGGAAACGGCGUCUAAUACUGGAUAUGAGCUGCGACCGCAUGGUCAGCAGUUGGAAAGGUUUUUCGGUCUGGGAUGGGCUCACGGCCUAUCAGCUUGUUGGUGAGGUAAUGGCUCACCAAGGCGUCGACGGGUAGCCGGCCUGAGAGGGUGACCGGCCACACUGGGACUGAGACACGGCCCAGACUCCUACGGGAGGCAGCAGUGGGGAAUAUUGCACAAUGGGCGAAAGCCUGAUGCAGCAACGCCGCGUGAGGGAUGACGGCCUUCGGGUUGUAAACCUCUUUUAGCAGGGAAGAAGCGAAAGUGACGGUACCUGCAGAAAAAGCGCCGGCUAACUACGUGCCAGCAGCCGCGGUAAUACGUAGGGCGCAAGCGUUAUCCGGAAUUAUUGGGCGUAAAGAGCUCGUAGGCGGUUUGUCGCGUCUGCUGUGAAAUCCCGAGGCUCAACCUCGGGUCUGCAGUGGGUACGGGCAGACUAGAGUGCGGUAGGGGAGAUUGGAAUUCCUGGUGUAGCGGUGGAAUGCGCAGAUAUCAGGAGGAACACCGAUGGCGAAGGCAGAUCUCUGGGCCGUUACUGACGCUGAGGAGCGAAAGGGUGGGGAGCAAACAGGCUUAGAUACCCUGGUAGUCCACCCCGUAAACGUUGGGAACUAGUUGUGGGGUCCAUUCCACGGAUUCCGUGACGCAGCUAACGCAUUAAGUUCCCCGCCUGGGGAGUACGGCCGCAAGGCUAAAACUCAAAGGAAUUGACGGGGACCCGCACAAGCGGCGGAGCAUGCGGAUUAAUUCGAUGCAACGCGAAGAACCUUACCAAGGCUUGACAUAUACGAGAACGGGCCAGAAAUGGUCAACUCUUUGGACACUCGUAAACAGGUGGUGCAUGGUUGUCGUCAGCUCGUGUCGUGAGAUGUUGGGUUAAGUCCCGCAACGAGCGCAACCCUCGUUCUAUGUUGCCAGCACGUAAUGGUGGGAACUCAUGGGAUACUGCCGGGGUCAACUCGGAGGAAGGUGGGGAUGACGUCAAAUCAUCAUGCCCCUUAUGUCUUGGGCUUCACGCAUGCUACAAUGGCCGGUACAAAGGGCUGCAAUACCGUGAGGUGGAGCGAAUCCCAAAAAGCCGGUCCCAGUUCGGAUUGAGGUCUGCAACUCGACCUCAUGAAGUCGGAGUCGCUAGUAAUCGCAGAUCAGCAACGCUGCGGUGAAUACGUUCCCGGGUCU